CCUACGGGAGGCAGCAGUGAGGAAUAUUGGACAAUGGAGGCAACUCUGAUCCAGCCAUGCCGCGUGUAGGAAGACUGCCCUAUGGGUUGUAAACUACUUUUAUAUAGGAAGAAACGACAUUACGUGUAAUGUUUUGACGGUACUAUAAGAAUAAGGAUCGGCUAACUCCGUGCCAGCAGCCGCGGUAAUACGGAGGAUCCAAGCGUUAUCCGGAAUCAUUGGGUUUAAAGGGUCCGUAGGCGGGCUUAUAAGUCAGUGGUGAAAGUUUGCGGCUUAACCGUAAAAUUGCCAUUGAUACUGUAGGUCUUGAAUCAUUGUGAAGUGGUUAGAAUAAGUAGUGUAGCGGUGAAAUGCAUAGAUAUUACUUAGAAUACCGAUUGCGAAGGCAGAUCACUAACAAUGUAUUGACGCUGAUGGACGAAAGCGUGGGUAGCGAACAGGAUUAGAUACCCCAGUAGUC
This 460-nucleotide ribosomal RNA is filed under the name uncultured Flavobacteriaceae bacterium. Its description in RNAcentral is "bacterial SSU rRNA". It matches the Rfam family "Bacterial small subunit ribosomal RNA", at positions 338 to 795 of the family's 1533-position model. The record is from RNAcentral. Lineage: Bacteria; Pseudomonadati; Bacteroidota; Flavobacteriia; Flavobacteriales; Flavobacteriaceae.